Long non-coding RNA from Triticum aestivum (bread wheat), 4003 nucleotides. RefSeq lists it as uncharacterized. The record is from RefSeq and is a predicted model, not a curated record. The transcript is spliced from 7 exons. NCBI's taxonomy places the organism in Eukaryota, Viridiplantae, Streptophyta, Magnoliopsida, Poales, Poaceae.
CCUCCCGUGCUGGAAGAAAACCUACGAAAAAAAACCAAAACUCGCACGCACGAGCGAGACUGCCCUCUCGAUCCCCUCGACCUACGAUCUGUGACUGCAGACGCACCAGAUCGCCGCCGCGGACCUCGCAGAGAAGACGCAGACGAGAUCCCAAGCCGCUGCUCCUCCUCUCCCGGGAUGCAGCUGCCGCCGCCGAACCAGGGAGACGCCGGCGACCGUCGCCGCCGUCGUGGAUCACCAGGACGCCGCCGCCGCCGCCGCCUGCACCGCCACCACCGCGCCUCGGAUACAUCGCUGCGAAGCGGAUCCCUGGGAGCGGGAGGAGGUAGGGGUCAGCCGCGUCGACAGCGGCGAGGUGGAGCCCUGGGGCUGGGAGUGGGUAUGGGAGGAGGUGGGGGGCAGCUGCGAGCGCAACAGGGCGAGGGGCGUCGACGAGAUGCUCGUGGUGCCUCCCUCCGAGUGGGAAGGGGAGAGGGGCGUCAGCGGCGAGCCGGACGGGGCGAGGGGCGUCAGCGGCGAGCCGGACGGGGCGAGGGGCGUCGAUGAGAUGCCCCCGGCGCUUCCCUCCGGGCGGGAGGAGGAGAGGGGCGUCGGCGACGAGGCGAGUGUCGGCGGUGAGAUGGUCUCUGACGGGCGUGAUGAGGCGGGCAGCUUUGGCGUGAAGCGUGCGUUCGUGGAGGUAUUCGCCAGGGCGCUCUUCUAUCCGACGGUGAUGCUCAACUAUGGCCGUAGCUUGAUCGAUCCCGAGUUCCACUGGUGGGAUCGCAUCGACAAGGAUAUUUGGAUAGGGGAAGUUCCUCACCAACCAAUGUCAUAAUUUAUCACGUCCGCAAAUGAUUUUUGGACUGUAGUUUGUAUUGUUCUGCCGAGCGUAUAACAACGCAUGCUAUCUAUCAAAGCUUCGACUCAUUUGUUUUGCUGCUCCGGAAUAUUGAGACGAGAAGAAUGGCCUUGAUGCUGGAGGUUAAUGGAUCACCCUGGGAACGAUUUUGAGGGCAUUAUGCCAGCUACUUUGAUGGCAAUGGAUUAUGGAAUGGCAAACUAACAGGGCACAUCGCACAACUGGUAUAAAUGUGUUGAUAUGUUGCAUUUCAAGGCAGUUUCACUCAUAAAUACUACAAAGUUUGAACCAUUUAGCAUUUGGGACCACGAGGAUUCCGAUUGGGAGAACGACGUCGUCCAUAGAUUAAUGUAUGGGAACACCGGGCCAACCCACUUUACAGGACAGGAGGGUUGACCGCUGGGCGAUGCGCUGCACGAGUAGGCCAGGAGGAACAAGAGUAGAAGAGGACUGUAGCCUGUAGGUGAGAGAAGAUGAUGCCAUUGCCAUCUUGACUGAAGGUUGGGCAUCUAAAGAUGCUUGGCAACCAGAACUCUGAAGCUAAACACCACUUGAAGGUACCUGGAAAUACAUUACUUGCUGAAGCUGCACAUCCUACGCCCCAGGAGGAGGCCAAAUGCAUAUUCCGAUCAUGUGAUCUAAAUACUAAAGCUUCCUUGCUGGAUCUAAGGUUUAAUUUCUCUGCCCCAAUGCUGGUUCUUAGGGUAAUACAAGUUCUACUCCAUAUUUUUGAUGCCCUCCACAUAAAUCCAUCACUCUCUUGUUGCCUUGAAGCAUACUUCCGUAGCAGCCGGAGCUGAACAUUUAGAGAGACCAUACUGUAGCAAGCUUGCUUUCUAGGGACCUGGUGUUUCUGCAAACCCAACGAUAGGCGUGUUUGAAAAAAAAGGGUCAGUUCGUGUUGCAAUUUCAUGAAAACUUGCUUAUGCGGUGUUAUUGCACUGGUACAAAAAAUGUCAUGGUCUUUUUCUUCCUGUUUAGAUCGCCACCUACCUAUGAAUUACGACUCUGGGCAUGGCAGAAUGUCACCAUAAUUUUUGUUCAGCAACUAGAUUUCAUCCCAAGACGUGCCAUCUCUCUAAUUUGACUCUGAGCAUGUAAUACAGUUAGUUAAUCAUGUGGGUUGGUCUUGUGUCUUCCAGCUGCAAUUGAAUUAGUCUAAGCAAUCGAGGUCCUACUAAUUAAUUAAGCUGGCUAUUUGCUUGCUUCUUGUACCUACGGCAUGCUCUCUGAUCUUUUUUAUCGCAGUAUGCAAGCUUCUAAGCGCCGGAUUGAUGUCGUACUAACAAAUUAAGGUGGUUGAUUACUUGCUUUUUUUUUCUCAGUAUUGCAAGCUUUACUGUGAAUUAAAAGGAAUUAAAAGGAUGGAGCCAGUAUGCCUACAGUUGAUUCACUGAUGUUCAAAUUAACUGCAGUAGCUUAUUUUUCCUACAACUUCAUUGAAAGUUCCUUUGCCGUAUCUAAUUAUCUAAAGUUUUCCUUGUACCAUUUUCCAUGAGAUUAAUGUAAUUGGGAAUACCAGUGCUUGUUUGAAUCAUUUAGUUAAUUAAUUUUGUAGAUAAAACUUGUAUUUGUAUGUUUUAGAAUUACUAUUAUCCUGGUAAAAUGACCACAAGUGAAAGGGUUGUAAAGAUUAAUUAUUCUUUGUGGAAGCAUUAUUGGUCUAAUUAAUAGAUGUACAUGCAUCAAUAAUGUUGUUGAGCUUUAGUUGAUUCUAUAGUGUCGUACUAUUCGCAAAGUUCUAUUUUGAGAAAAAAUAGCAAAUUCAAUAUUGUGGCAGCUAAAUGGCGCGCCCGCUGUAGCAAGUGAGUGCCCAUCGAAAUCACCCUAAGCAUAUUUGCGCUGAUUUUCAUGAUUGCUCUUCUGCCAGCAACAAUGUUCCUCGCACUUCGACCACACAACUGUAUGUUCAUCUUCCAGAGUCCUUAUUCAUAGUUAAUUUCAAUCACAAAGUGACAAAUGCCAGUCUAUUAGUUAACAUGUGUAUCUCCGUUUCUUCUAAGUUUUAAUCGACCUACUCUGAAGUUGUUCCUAAGACAGUGCCUCAAGCAAAGGGAAUGAGCCUCAGUUAGUGUAUCUAGCGUGUUCGCGAUCCUUUGUUGGGAUAAACAUUUGUGCAAGAGCAAGUCUCGUCACUGUUGGUUGUUAGUACUGUUGCUUGAUAAUUCUAAUUUUUACUUCAGUUCAUAAGGCAAUGUAGUUAUGCUUGACGCAUGAUAUGAAGACUGCCAUUUUGCCUUUUGACCUUGGUUUCUUCCUCCAGUAAGUAAAUGCACAUAGUUCUUUUCUAAAUUAGAGCAUAUGACUUGUUGAUCGAUCUCUGAGCUCAGUAAUAAUAUUAAGCCUUAAUCUGUUUAUUGUGCAGACAAGAUGAGAAAGAAAUGCUACCCAAGAAUAUGUACUUUAUAAACAUUUCAACUGUAAUCUGGAAUAAAAUUAAAUAAAUAAGGAAACAAUAUAUUCAUAUAUCUUUUUUGUACUUUGAUGGUUUCACACCACAAGUUCCUAGAUGGUAAUUGUGCUGCAUAUGUCUGCUCUCUUACUUUGUUUUUCUGAACAGGUAGGUUCCGGAAGAUGUCAUGAAGAAUUUCUUUGAGAAAAUUUGCGUGAGGUGUGUCUAAAUGAUUUUUAUCUUCUGAACAUAUUCUUGUAUGACUAACUGAAUUCAUUUUCUCAAAACGUUGGUACUUUUCCUUUUUCAUUUAUGUUGCUCGACUGAGUCUCUCUCGGAUCAUGUACACUCCACAUGCUAGCUGAUCUGUAGCAGUGCGGAAGGUGAGCUUGGCUGCCGGCAGCAGCUCCUUUGGCUGAUCUGCGGCGAUGCAGAAGUUGGGUUGGAAAAAGCACGACCGGCUGCUCUGAAGUGGGUCGUAGGGAGAGCUUCGUAAGAGAUAGGGAGGGAGCUCUAUUGGCCCGUGCAUGACAUCCAACCCAAUGGCAUCAUGCCCUGGUAGGCAUGGUUGCAUGGCCACGGGGAGAAUGGAGCAAGUAGCGUGUGAGGAGUUUAAGAAAUGGGGACAAGGGACAAUUUAGUUAAUUAAGUCUAUGUUAGUUUCAAGUUUUAUCCUUGUUGCGUUAAAAAAUUAAGGUUGGAUUAACCACCAUGUACAUCUUCAAUUACUUUUAAAUAAGAAAUAUAAUCAAAAUAUUCUUUUGAAAUCA